AAGGUGGGGACUCAGAUGAGACUGCCGGUGACAAACCGGAGGAAGUGGGGACGACGUCAAGUCAUCAUGGCCCUUAUGUCCUGGGCUACACACGUGCUACAAUGGCCGGUACAGAGUGAAGCGAAACCGCGAGGUGAAGCAAAACGCAGAAAGCCGGUCUCAGUACGGAUUGGAGUCUGAAACUCGACUUCAUGAAGUUGGAAUCGCUAGUAAUCGCGCAUCAGCAUGGCGCGGUGAAUACGUUCCCGGGCCUU
Molecule: ribosomal RNA, 254 nt
Filed under: uncultured Spirochaeta sp.
Lineage: Bacteria; Pseudomonadati; Spirochaetota; Spirochaetia; Spirochaetales; Spirochaetaceae
Description: partial 16S ribosomal RNA
Rfam family: Bacterial small subunit ribosomal RNA
Source: RNAcentral